GUCUUUAAAAAUCACCCUUCAUGCAGCCUUACAAGCUGAAAAUAUUUUCUGUUUUCUUGAUUUUAGUCUGCAUCAUAUUGAACAAACAGAAGCCUGGAGUAACCCGAUUUGAAUUUUAAACUGUAUCACAGCCUCACUUGACACAGAUUUCUGAUUGGUUGAUCACGGUGGGAGGGAAAACUCAUUGGUUGACGUCACCAACGGGCCGGAAUCUGCAAGCGGGAGAAGUGCAGAGAACGAGAGACUUUUGACGACCGUUUGUCGUAUUUUUUCUGCGUUUUAACAAUCCGUGUGAUGAAUCUCCAACAUUUUUUUUGCUUGUCUGGAAAAGAUUCAAGUAAAAUCUUUGAAGUUUGCACGGUGAUCUAAAUUCUACACGUGAAAAUGAGUGAAUCAGAACCCAUGUUCCUCCACACUGCCAUUAUGGAGGUCCUACCAGAGCCACAAAAGACAUCCUGGAAGAACACUUGCAGUCCAUUGGAAUAAAUGGAGUUGUAUGAGGAUCUACGAUUCAUAGAAGAGGCUGACUUGCUGCCAGCUUUGAGACCUGUUCAAGCCCGGAAAGGUCUUGCUCUUUGGAAAUUGAAAUACCAAACGCCAGAGAACAGCACAUCAUCAUCUGUUGAGACCUCACCAACACAAUCAUCAUCACUUUUGUUAUAGUCACCGAGGAGUUCGUCAUCCACAUCUUCCAGAAGCCGAGGACUGUACGUACAUUGACUGGGAGGACAGCUUUGAAAUUCCAUGGAAAAUGAUGAAAGCAAGACGUUUUUCCAAACUCUAAAAGGCUGCAGAUGAUGCGGGGAGAGCAGAGUGGCUGCUCAGAAGAGAUGAGAUGUUAAAGAGAUGCUCUUUCUUUUGCUCUGCUACUUUGAGGAGGAUGCCAUGUUCUUGUAGAAGAUGCAGACGAGGUCCAGCUGCAGCAGGUGCCGUUGACUCCAACUGUUAUUGUAUGUGGACAGUCUUUCUUUUCCCCAAGGAGGUUCAUGCUCAGUUGGAACCGCUCCAUCGUACACAACAACAUUGCAGCACUGUGCCUGAUGUUCAGAAGCUACUUCUGCUUUAACCGUCAUUAUCCAACUGAGCUGGCUUCAACCCUGGAGUUUCUGCAAAGCUGAUGUCCUGUGAUGUGCCACUCUACCUGGUUGGGAACAAAUUGAAGAGGCCAAGCUCAAGAAAGCCGUUGUCAACAAAUGUAGGGCAGAGCAGGUUCUAAGGCCACUGCUAUGAUCUACAGUAUGCGGACUGGUUUCUCUUCCAUCUUUUUCCUUAUUUUUUAUCUUAAUUUGGUUCUCAAAUUGGUCCAUGGAUUUGGUAGGCUGCAAGUUUCGGAGAAUGUUUUUAUCAGGUACUUUUUUAUGUGGUUACAUAAUCUUGUUUUUUUCCUUGUACCUCAGCAGUGAUGUCAGUGUGUUUGUUGUUUAAAAUAUGGAAUUUUUCUUUACCAUCAUGUCAGCCACAUUUAGUACGCCACGGUUCAUGUACUUAAUGCAUUUAAUAUUUUAAAAAGUGUUUUAUACUGCUACCACAAUUCAAAUGCUGUACUGAUGAUGGUGCUGCCCAAAUAAAGUGUAAAGCAUUUACA
Molecule: non-coding RNA, 1585 nt
Organism: Oryzias latipes (Japanese medaka)
Lineage: Eukaryota; Metazoa; Chordata; Actinopteri; Beloniformes; Adrianichthyidae
Source: RefSeq, a predicted model, not a curated record